RNAcentral lists this ribosomal RNA (274 nucleotides) under uncultured bacterium. RNAcentral describes it as "partial 16S ribosomal RNA". It matches the Rfam family "Bacterial small subunit ribosomal RNA", at positions 523 to 796 of the family's 1533-position model. The record is from RNAcentral.
AUACGGAGGGGGUUAGCGUUGUUCGGAAUUACUGGGCGUAAAGCGCACGUAGGCGGACUGGAAAGUUGGGGGUGAAAUCCCGGGGCUCAACCCCGGAACUGCCUCCAAAACUUCCAAUCUCGAGAUCGAGAGAGGUGAGUGGAAUUCCAAGUGUAGAGGUGAAAUUCGUAGAUAUUUGGAGGAACACCAGUGGCGAAGGCGGCUCACUGGCUCGAUACUGACGCUGAGGUGCGAAAGCGUGGGGAGCAAACAGGAUUAGAAACCCUUGUAGUCC